GAUGAACGCUAGCGAUAGGCUUAACACAUGCAAGUCGAGGGGUAACGUGUUGGCAGCUUGCUUCCGAUGACGACGACCGGCGGAUGGGUGCGUAACGCGUAUGCAACUUGCCUCACAGUGGAGAAUAACCCGGAGAAAUCCGGACUAAUACUCCAUACACUCUUAAGUACGCCUGUACAUGAGAGGAAAGAUUUAUCGCUGUGAGAUAGGCAUGCGUCCUAUUAGGUAGUUGGUGAGGUAACGGCUCACCAAGCCGACGAUAGGUAGGGGUGCUGAGAGGGAGAUCCCCCACAUUGGGAAGGAGACACGGCCCAAACUCCUACGGGAGGCAGCAGUGAGGAAUAUUGGUCAAUGGAGGAAACUCUGAACCAGCCAAGUCGCGUGAAGGAAGAAUGUCCUAAGGAUUGUAAACUUCUUUAGCGAGCGAGUAAGGACUUCCACGUGAUGGGAGUUUGAAAGUAGCUCGAGAAUAAGUAUCGGCUAACUCCGUG
This 491-nucleotide ribosomal RNA is filed under the name uncultured bacterium. RNAcentral's name for it is "partial 16S ribosomal RNA". It matches the Rfam family "Bacterial small subunit ribosomal RNA", at positions 28 to 507 of the family's 1533-position model. The record is from RNAcentral.